AGCAGCCGCGGUAAUUCCAGCUCCAAUAGCGUAUAUUAAAGUUGUUGCAGUUAAAAAGCUCGUAGUUGAACUUCGGGGUUUACCCAUUGGUCAGGCUUAAUUGUCUGCACUGGUGAGAUGAAUCUCUACCUUCUGAGGAACUUUCAGCCAUUUAUUUGGUGUGAUGGGAAAUCAGGACUGUUACUUUGAAAAAAUUAGAGUGUUUAAAGCAGGCUAACGUCUGAAUACAUUAGCAUGGAAUGAUGAAAUAGGACGGACUGAUUCUAUUUCGUUGGUUUCUAGGAUCACCGUAAUGAUUAAUAGGGAUAGUUGGGGGCAUUAGUAUUCGAUUGUCAGAGGUGAAAUUCUUGGAUUUAUUGAAGACUAACUACUGCGAAAGCGUUUGCCCAGGAUAUUUUCAUUAAUCGAGAACGAAAGUUAGGGGAUCGAAGGCGAUCAGAUACCGUCGUAGUCUUAACCAUAAACUAUGCCGACUAGGGAUCGGACGAAGUUAAUUUUAUAAUGACGCGUUCGGCACAUUACG
This 523-nucleotide ribosomal RNA is filed under the name uncultured Glomeromycotina. RNAcentral describes it as "SSU rRNA". It matches the Rfam family "Eukaryotic small subunit ribosomal RNA", at positions 569 to 1092 of the family's 1831-position model. The record is from RNAcentral. Lineage: Eukaryota; Fungi; Glomeromycota.